CAACCUGCCUAUAACUAGGGAAUAACCUUGCGAAAGUAAGACUAAUACCCUAUGAUUUCCUUUGNNGNCAUCNGAUUAGGAUUAAAGAUUUACCGGUUAUAGAUGGGGAUGCGUCUGAUUAGCUUGUUGGCGGGGUAACGGCCCACCAAGGCAACGAUCAGUAGGGGUUCUGAGAGGAAGGUCCCCCACAUUGGAACUGAGACACGGUCCAAACUCCUACGGGAGGCAGCAGUGAGGAAUAUUGGUCAAUGGGCGGAAGCCUGAGCCAGCCAAGUAGCGUGCAGGAUGACGGCCCUAUGGGUUGUAAACUGCUUUUAUACAGGAAUAAAGUUAGCCACGUGUGGUUAUUUGUAGGUACUGUAUGAAUAAGGACCGGCUAAUUCCGUGCCAGCAGCCGCGGUAAUACGGAAGGUCCAGGCGUUAUCCGGAUUCAUUGGGUUUAAAGGGAGCGUAGGCCGUCUGUUAAGCGUGUUGUGAAAUGUAGAUGCUCAACAUCUGAAUUGCAGCGCGAACUGGCAGACUUGAGUGUGCGCAACGUAGGCGGAAUUCGUGGUGUAGCGGUGAAAUGCUUAGAUAUCACGAAGAACUCCGAUUG
Molecule: ribosomal RNA, 595 nt
Filed under: uncultured Bacteroidota bacterium
Lineage: Bacteria; Pseudomonadati; Bacteroidota
Description: bacterial SSU rRNA
Rfam family: Bacterial small subunit ribosomal RNA
Source: RNAcentral